RNAcentral lists this ribosomal RNA (494 nucleotides) under uncultured bacterium. Its description in RNAcentral is "partial 16S ribosomal RNA". It matches the Rfam family "Bacterial small subunit ribosomal RNA", at positions 28 to 507 of the family's 1533-position model. The record is from RNAcentral.
GACGAACGCUGGCGGCGUGCUUAACACAUGCAAGUCGAACGGAAAGGCCUGCUUUCCCUUGUGGAUUGCGGGUACUCGAGUGGCGAACGGGUGAGUAACACGUGAGUGAUCUGCCCCCAACUUGGGUAUAAGCCUGGGAGACUGGGUCUAAUUCCCGAUAGGACUGCAGGGUGGUGCCUGUGGUGGAAAACGAUUUUCUAGUGGUUGGGGAUGAGCUCGCGGCCUAUCAGCUUGUUGGUGGGGUAAUGGCCUACCAAGGCGGCGACGGGUAGCCGGCCUGGGGGGGUGGACGGCCACAUUGGGACUGAGAUACGGCCCAGACUCCUACGGGAGGCAGCAGUGGGGAAUAUUGCACAAUGGGCGGAAGCCUGAUGCAGCGACGCCGCGUGGGGGAUGACGGCCUUCGGGUUGUAAACUCCUUUCGACCGCGAGGAAGCCACCUGGUUGGAAGGGUGGCGACGGUAGUGGUAGAAGAAGCACCGGCUAACUACGUG